This 254-nucleotide ribosomal RNA is filed under the name uncultured bacterium. RNAcentral describes it as "partial 16S ribosomal RNA". It matches the Rfam family "Bacterial small subunit ribosomal RNA", at positions 524 to 776 of the family's 1533-position model. The record is from RNAcentral.
UACGUAGGGCGCAAGCGUUGUCCGGAAUUAUUGGGCGUAAAGAGCUCGUAGGCGGUUUGUCGCGUCUGCCGUGAAAGCCCGGGGCUUAACUGUGGGCUUGCGGUCGAUACGGGCAUCACUGGAGUUCGGCAGGGGAGACUGGAAUUCCUGGUGUAGCGGUGAAAUGCGCAGAUAUCAGGAGGAACACCGGUGGCGAAGGCGGGUCUCUGGGCCGAUACUGACGCUGAGGAGCGAAAGCGUGGGGAGCAAACAGG